This 120-nucleotide ribosomal RNA is filed under the name Castor canadensis (American beaver). The record is from RNAcentral. Lineage: Eukaryota; Metazoa; Chordata; Mammalia; Rodentia; Castoridae.
GUCUACAGCCAUACCUUAAUGAAGAUGCCCCAUCUCAUCUGACCUCAGAAGCUAAGUGGGGGUGGGGCCUGAUUAGUACCUGGAUUUGAGAUUACUUGGGAAUACCAUGUGCUGUAGCCC